This 18-nucleotide ribosomal RNA is filed under the name Huernia kennedyana. Its description in RNAcentral is "26S ribosomal RNA". The record is from RNAcentral. Lineage: Eukaryota; Viridiplantae; Streptophyta; Magnoliopsida; Gentianales; Apocynaceae.
AGCGACCCCAGGUCAGGC